GCCUGGAUAGCUCAGCUGGUUAGAGCAUGGUGCUAAUAAUGCAAAGGUUGCAGGUUCGAUCCCCAUAAGGGGCA
RNAcentral lists this transfer RNA (74 nucleotides) under Podarcis lilfordi (Lilford's wall lizard). RNAcentral's name for it is "tRNA.Ile". The record is from RNAcentral. Lineage: Eukaryota; Metazoa; Chordata; Lepidosauria; Squamata; Lacertidae.